Molecule: non-coding RNA, 400 nt
Organism: Lonchura striata (white-rumped munia)
Lineage: Eukaryota; Metazoa; Chordata; Aves; Passeriformes; Estrildidae
Source: RefSeq, a predicted model, not a curated record
GUGAAAGAUGAUAAGAAAGUACUACUUUUUCUCAAGGGCUGAAGUUGGAAACUAUUUAAAACCUUACAAACCCCAGAGCUGAUCCCUAUUCUUUGAGUAGCAGCAGGAGUGUGGCUGUUAUGGCUUGACAUGGAAAUGAGGAACAAGCUCUGCUCCCCAGCAGGUGCUCAGGUGGAAAUCUGCAGAAUGGAAUUUGGGCUUUUCCCACCAGAAAAGUCCUCACUGUAGGCAGAUGUUUCUUCUGUUCUUCUCAGAGCAGUGCAAGUGGUUGGACACUGAAGCUCAAAGAAGAGGGAACUAAGAUCCCUGACCUGGAUAAAGCCACAGGUGAGUGCACUGGAGAAGUUCUUCCACCAAAAGCAGUUCUUGUAAGGCUUCUCAGCCCUUCACAGGAAAUCAG